AGAGUUUGAUCAUGGCUCAGGAUGAACGCUGGCGGCGUGCUUAACACAUGCAAGUCGAGCGAGAGUCGCUCUGAUGACGCUUCGGUAGAUUCAGGGCGAGGAAAGCGGCGGACGGGUGAGUAACGCGUGGGAAACCUGCCCUUCACAGAGGGACAGCCGAGGGAAACUUCGAUUAAUACCUCAUAACGCAUCGAGGUCGCAUGGCCAUGAUGCCAAAGAUUUAUCGGUGAAGGAUGGUCCCGCGUCUGAUUAGCUAGUUGGUGAGGCAGCGGCUCACCAAGGCGACGAUCAGUAGCCGGCCUGAGAGGGUGAACGGCCACAUUGGAACUGAGACACGGUCCAGACUCCUACGGGAGGCAGCAGUGGGGAAUAUUGCACAAUGGGCGCAAGCCUGAUGCAGCAACGCCGCGUGAAGGAAGAAGGCCUUCGGGUCGUAAACUUCUGUCCAAAGGGAAGAAACCUGACGGUACCUUUGGAGGAAGCCCCGGCUAACUACGUGCCAGCAGCCGCGGUAAUACGUAGGGGGCAAGCGUUAUCCGGAAUUACUGGGCGUAAAGAGUACGUAGGUGGCCCUGUAAGCGUAGGGUUUAAGGCGACGGCCCAACCGUCGUUCGCCCUGUGAACUGCAGAGCUUGAGUGCUGGAGGGGAAGGCGGAAUUCCUAGUGUAGCGGUGAAAUGCGUAGAUAUUAGGAGGAACACCAGUGGCGAAGGCGGCCUUCUGGACAGUAACUGACACUGAGGUACGAAAGCGUGGGUAGCAAACAGGAUUAGAUACCCUGAUAGUCCACGCCGUAAACGAUGAGCACUAGGUGUCGGGCUCAUAAGAGUUCGGUGCCGGAGCAAACGCAUUAAGUGCUCCGCCUGGGGAGUACGCACGCAAGUGUAAAACUCAAAGGAAUUGACGGGGACCCGCACAAGCAGCGGAGCAUGUGGUUUAAUUCGAAGCAACGCGAAAAACCUUACCAGGGCUUGACAUCCCUCUGAAAGAUCUCUUAACCGAGAUCCCCCUUCGGGCAGAGGUGACAGGUGGUGCAUGGUUGUCGUCAGCUCGUGUCGUGAGAUGUUGGGUUAAGUCCCGCAACGAGCGCAACCCUUGUCGUCAGUUACUAACAUUUGGUUGAGGACUCUGGCGAGACUGCCGAGGUUAACUCGGAGGAAGGUGGGGAUGACGUCAAAUCAUCAUGCCCCUUAUGUUCUGGGCUACACACGUGCUACAAUGGUCGGUACAAUGAGAAGCAAAGUCGCGAGGCGGAGCAAAUCACCAAAACCGAUCCCAGUUCGGAUUGCAGGCUGCAACUCGCCUGCAUGAAGUCGGAGUUGCUAGUAAUCGCGAAUCAGCAUGUCGCGGUGAAUGCGUUCCCGGGUCUUGUACACACCGCCCGUCACACCAUGGAAGUUGGGGGCGCCCAAAGUUGGCUAAUUAAUCUGCUACCUAAGGCGAAACCAAUGACUGGGGUGAAGUCGUAACAAGGUAACCGUA
This 1481-nucleotide ribosomal RNA is filed under the name uncultured rumen bacterium. Its description in RNAcentral is "bacterial SSU rRNA". It matches the Rfam family "Bacterial small subunit ribosomal RNA". The record is from RNAcentral.